Molecule: non-coding RNA, 235 nt
Organism: Drosophila suzukii
Lineage: Eukaryota; Metazoa; Arthropoda; Insecta; Diptera; Drosophilidae
Source: RefSeq, a predicted model, not a curated record
GCAAUUGCGAGUGCGAGUGCAACUUUUAUUGAGGCAACCGACCACCCCAGGUGGGUUUCGAUGCCAAGCGAUUCCUGCGCUGUUUACCCUCGAUACAAUCUUGGCCAGUCCUAAAUGGCAUCAGUGUUCCCAAGCUAUUCCAUUCUGUGGCAUCGUUCCAACUAGGCCUAAACCAAGUGAAGCAGUAGCAGUAACAGCAGCUGUAACACGUUGAUUAUGCAAGCUCCAUGAUGAA